This 255-nucleotide unclassified non-coding RNA is filed under the name Hevea brasiliensis (rubber tree). The record is from RNAcentral. Lineage: Eukaryota; Viridiplantae; Streptophyta; Magnoliopsida; Malpighiales; Euphorbiaceae.
GGGAAGACCAAAGGGUUCUAAGAAUAACAGGAGAAGUGUGGAAGAAAAUGUGGGAACUUCAGGUACAGCUAGUGUGAUGGAUGACAGUGGACAAAGGGUUCUUAUGAAGAAUAGACUAGACAGGCCAAAGGGUUCCAAGAAUAGCAGGAGAAGUGGUGAAGAAGAUGGGGGAAUUUCAGGUACAGUUAGUGUGAUGGAUGGCAGUAGAGAAGGGUUUCUUAUGAAGAAGAAGAUGCAACUAGGCAGGCCGAAGGG